This 440-nucleotide ribosomal RNA is filed under the name uncultured bacterium. Its description in RNAcentral is "partial 16S ribosomal RNA". It matches the Rfam family "Bacterial small subunit ribosomal RNA", at positions 338 to 795 of the family's 1533-position model. The record is from RNAcentral.
CCUACGGGGGGCAGCAGUGGGGAAUAUUGCACAAUGGGGGAAACCCUGAUGCAGCGACGCCGCGUGAGUGAAGAAGGAUUUCGGUAUGUAAAGCCCUGUCAGUAGGGAAGAAAAUGACGGUACCUGACCAAGAAGCCCCGGCUAACUACGUGCCAGCAGCCGGGGUAAUACGUAGGGGGCAAGCGUUAUCCGGAUUUACUGGGUGUAAAGGGAGCGUAGACGGCAGGGCAAGUCUGGAGUGAAAGGCGGGGGCUCAACCCCCGGACUGCUGUUGAAACUGGCAGGCUGGAGUGCAGGAGAGGUAAGUGGAAUUCGUGGUGUAGCGGUGAAAUGCGUAGAUAUUAGGAGGAACACCGGUGGCGAAGGCGGCUUACUGGACUGUGACUGACGUUGAGGCUCGAAAGCGUGGGGAGCAAACAGGAUUAGAUACCCUUGUAGUC